This 77-nucleotide transfer RNA is filed under the name Flavobacteriaceae bacterium. RNAcentral describes it as "tRNA-Met". It matches the Rfam family "tRNA". Rfam says of the family: Transfer RNA (tRNA) molecules are approximately 80 nucleotides in length. Lineage: Bacteria; Pseudomonadati; Bacteroidota; Flavobacteriia; Flavobacteriales; Flavobacteriaceae. The record is from RNAcentral.
GGCGAGGUAGCUCAGGNGGUCAGAGCGUCGGAUUCAUAACCCGGAGGUCGGGAGUUCAAGUCUCCCCCUCGCUACNA